CUGGAGAUCUAAAUCAGAGCAUUGCUACCUCAUGUGUAUGUACUCUAAUAGGUAUUCCAAAAGCUCUGGCAAAGC
Non-coding RNA from Ceratotherium simum simum (southern white rhinoceros), 75 nucleotides. Lineage: Eukaryota; Metazoa; Chordata; Mammalia; Perissodactyla; Rhinocerotidae. The record is from RefSeq and is a predicted model, not a curated record.